UUGUUAGUCGUUAGUCAAACUCGGCAAGACAUCACAUCUUGUGCCUACGUAUCUCAUCUGAACAUGAGAAUCAGAGUUGCCGUAGUUCGGCUACACGCACGCCGAAACAAACACACGCACAUACGCUGAGACGUCAAAACAAACACACAGACAGGCAAACGUGGAAUCCGAACGCCAAUCGCUGGACUUACAUCAGAUUCCGAACCAAACAAAACCACACUGGAAACCAGAUGCCACUUGAUGGACUUAUACC
This 253-nucleotide long non-coding RNA is filed under the name Lathyrus oleraceus (garden pea). RNAcentral's name for it is "Pisum sativum (pea) long non-coding RNA (PSAT_LNC024442)". Lineage: Eukaryota; Viridiplantae; Streptophyta; Magnoliopsida; Fabales; Fabaceae. The record is from RNAcentral.